UUUUCAGCAUUCCCCCACUCAAUACUAUCAGGUUCACUACUUUCUUCUUGCAGCAUCUGUGACAAGGAGUGACGGACACGAGGACUUGACAAUGCCACUGGAGCAAUGCUGGCUGGAGAUAUAAGCUGAGAUGUAAUGUCAUCACAUGGUAUAUGUGAGUCUUGAUGCUCUUCUAUUUCCACCCAUGCAAUGGGAGAGAUUGCUGAUUCUUCUUCACCUUCCAUUUUUAGGGAAGAUUCCACCAUUUUCUUUUUAUCAUCGCCAUCAGCUGUAACUUGAUCUAAGUUUUCUAUGUUGCCACAUUUCUGAGGGCUAUUUACCUGAGUUUCUGAUUCAAACUCAGCAUCAUGACUUUCCAAUACUACAAGACCCCCAUCCUGCUGCUGGUUGACCAGAUCACAGGCAUUAACAACUGACUCAUUCUCUUGAGCUUGGAUCUGAUUUCUGCUGUUUCUUGGAGAUUCCUCAGACUGAGAAGAAACUUUUGUUUUGUUGCCAGUGGAACCAACACCAGGACCAAUUCCAGAGCCCUUACGAAGAAAUGGCUUUGACUCCAGUGGUACUACACUGCUUUUCUUCGUCGCCUUGCUAUAGAAAGUAGGCCUUGCAGGAACCACAGAAGAAUAAUCCCCAGAACUAGUCAGAACUUUUGUUUUUGUUGGUUUGCCACUUCUUGUCACUGUUUGCUGCUGUUUCUCAUUCCCGUUUCUCAGGCUCCUUUUAUUGUUCAUCUGGGUUCCUUUGACAUUUUUCUGUCCCUGCUGCGAUCCUUCAACUUUUGGAUUUGACCUAGGAAGUGAUGCUGUUGGCAGGGGUUUCCGCCGUGUUGGUGUAGUGCCAGCAGAAGAAAUUCCAGUGGGGGUUUUAACUGGUGAAGUCCCUGUGGCUCUGGGUGAUGGUGAAAUUCCAGUGGGAG
RNAcentral lists this long non-coding RNA (916 nucleotides) under Vitis vinifera (wine grape). RNAcentral describes it as "long non-coding RNA (VVIN_LNC003982)". Lineage: Eukaryota; Viridiplantae; Streptophyta; Magnoliopsida; Vitales; Vitaceae. The record is from RNAcentral.